RNAcentral lists this ribosomal RNA (329 nucleotides) under uncultured eukaryote. RNAcentral describes it as "partial 18S ribosomal RNA". It matches the Rfam family "Eukaryotic small subunit ribosomal RNA", at positions 1470 to 1796 of the family's 1831-position model. The record is from RNAcentral.
CCCUUAGAUGUUCUGGGCCGCACGCGCGCUACACUGAUGCAUUCAACGAGUCUAAAACCUGCUCUGAUAGGGGUGGGUAAUCUUUUGAAUGUGUAUCGUGAUUGGGAUAGAUGAUUGCAAUUUUUCAUCUUCAACGAGGAAUGCCUAGUAAACGCAAGUCAUCAGCUUGCAUUGAUUACGUCCCUGCCCUUUGUACACACCGCCCGUCGCUCCUACCGAUUGAAUGAUCCGAUGAAUAUCAUGGAUUGAGGAUGCAAGUAGGUUCGCCUAUCUUCAUCUUCGAGAAGUGAAGUAAAUCUUAUCAUUUAGAGGAAGGAGAAGUCGUAACA